This 73-nucleotide transfer RNA is filed under the name Felis catus (domestic cat). It matches the Rfam family "tRNA". Rfam says of the family: Transfer RNA (tRNA) molecules are approximately 80 nucleotides in length. Their secondary structure includes four short double-helical elements and three loops (D, anti-codon, and T loops). Further hydrogen bonds mediate the characteristic L-shaped molecular structure. tRNAs have two regions of fundamental functional importance: the anti-codon, which is responsible for specific mRNA codon recognition, and the 3' end, to which the tRNAs corresponding amino acid is attached (by aminoacyl-tRNA synthetases). tRNAs cope with the degeneracy of the genetic code in two manners: having more than one tRNA (with a specific anti-codon) for a particular amino acid; and 'wobble' base-pairing, i.e. permitting non-standard base-pairing at the 3rd anti-codon position. The record is from Rfam by way of RNAcentral. Lineage: Eukaryota; Metazoa; Chordata; Mammalia; Carnivora; Felidae.
GCUUGGCUGGCUGAGCCAGUAAGGUGUGUGACUCCUGAUCUCAAGGUUGUGGGUGUGAGUCCCACACUGGGUG